GAAGCCUAAGUUCAACAAGUGAACAGCAAUUUCCAAGCUCAGCAGGCAAUGAGCCAUCAAGCUUAUUGGCGAAACAAGGAUUUCCUUCUUGUUGCCUUUUAUUCUCAAACAUGCAGCCUGUGAGGUUGCUUCAUUGUAUUCACGUUUGUGUUCACUGGAAAGAAUCCUAAUUUCUAAGAUGCAGCGACCCGAAGCAAUGUAAGGGUUGCUUUCGCUUCUUUUAUUGAUGCCAUGUUCUUUGAGAUUCUGUUUCUUAUCAUUAAUGGCUGAUGGUUAACUUGCUUGUGCAUUA
Molecule: long non-coding RNA, 292 nt
Organism: Populus euphratica (Euphrates poplar)
Lineage: Eukaryota; Viridiplantae; Streptophyta; Magnoliopsida; Malpighiales; Salicaceae
Exons: 2
Source: RefSeq, a predicted model, not a curated record